GGUUCAGUCCUCUAUAAAUACCAGAUACAGCUUCAGAGGCAAACGGAGGGGAAUGAGCCAGCUGGAUUUUCACUUUGGGGAGAAAAAACGUGAAACCAAGCAGCACCCAUCGGUUUUCCUCCCCAGCUCCAUGCCUGCCCCCUGGAGUGAGCCUCCUUGCUUUCAGCCACAGCUGAGUGGCCAGUCUCUUCAGCCUCCCCAGGCACCUAGGUGCGAGGAGGAGGGGCAACUCAAAUCCAAGUGGAAAACUGGCUGGUCUUCAACCGACUUGGAAGUUUAAGUGGCCUAGGCAGUCCUGAAAAGUUCCAGCAACUCCAGCUCAUUUAGCAGAGUGCAGCUUCUGGCUGGAAGAGCAGAGGAGGGCCAGGCUGUUCUAGGCUGCCUGUGGGGCAGGGCAGGGGGAGCCAGCACAGGAUGAUCAUGGGGCAAUAGCUCAGGCUUGGCCAAGCCCAGCUGCACAGGAGAACACGGUGACAUGCCAGAGGAGGGGCUACCGCCCGGUUUGCAGCCGGGCAGUGGGAGAGUCCAUGCCAGCCCCUAAGGAGAGCCAAACGCACAGGUGCUCCACCGCCCAGGCAUACCCCCAUCCAGAGCAGAGCCAAAGCUCACGAACACUCGCCUCCACUGUCUCCUCGCCAGGACGCAAAGCCAAUGGCUUUUAAAAACUAAGAAGGCCCCCAGGCCCAGCGCUUGGCCUCUCUCCAGCUCUCUGCCCUCUGCCUGGACGAUUUCACCCGCCACCUCCUUCACAGCACCUACUGUCUCUGUGCAGAUAUUGGUGGUAGUCUCAGCUGCCAAGACCCACCAGGCCCAAACUGCCCCCAUGCCUCAGACAAGGCCUUUGAUGUCCAGCUGCAGCCUAAACCCAGUAUUUCCCAAAGCAAACUUCUCCCUUGGCUUUCCAUGAACUUUAGCACUGGCCCGUUGGUUUAAUCCCUGGCUCCCAACUCUCCCUCCAUCGGUGACCAGGGUGGUCACUACAGCUUCCCCUGCUCCUCUGCAUGUCCCGGUGCCCCAUCGUGGCAGGCCUGCCAGAGAGGAGAUACCUACUGCCAUAGCGAGGGGACUUAUGAGCCAAGACUAGAGUCAGGUACCCAUGUCAGAACACAAGCCUGUGCUUCAGGAAAGGUCUAUGGAAAAUCGAGUCAUGGUAAUGAGGAUGGUCUCCAGCAAUGACCCUCAAACUUGACUGUGCACUCAAGCCACCUGGAAACUUUGUUUAAAAUGUAAAUCACUACCACAGGGAUUCUGAGGCACUAGACCUGGGGUGGAGCCUAGGAAUCUGUUUUUCAACAAGCCAGCAGAUGGGUCUGAUGCCAGUGAAGUCAAGGCC
Long non-coding RNA from Bos taurus (domestic cattle), 1333 nucleotides. The record is from Ensembl. NCBI's taxonomy places the organism in Eukaryota, Metazoa, Chordata, Mammalia, Artiodactyla, Bovidae.